ACAACGGCUCUUUUGAGAGCCACCCACACAACCUUUAAGAGCUUG
This is a non-coding RNA of Oryzias latipes (Japanese medaka), 45 nucleotides long. The record is from Rfam. Lineage: Eukaryota; Metazoa; Chordata; Actinopteri; Beloniformes; Adrianichthyidae.